Long non-coding RNA from Apodemus sylvaticus (European woodmouse), 313 nucleotides. RefSeq lists it as uncharacterized. The transcript is spliced from 3 exons. Lineage: Eukaryota; Metazoa; Chordata; Mammalia; Rodentia; Muridae. The record is from RefSeq and is a predicted model, not a curated record.
UACAGGACAGCUGCGGUCACACUUUGGCUAUAUCCAACUCUGGAUCAUUAAGUUGUCUUUACCUGGGUGCUGGCCACCCUCCUUCAUAAAGAGAUUGUGUCUAACAUAGUGGACAGUAUGUGUCUUCACAGAUAACCAAUUAACCAAGAAAAGAACAAAAAAAUAGAAAAACCACCAUCACCAUAAAGCAAAGAAGAAAAGAGAAAGAAAAAGGAAAAAAAUAAACCAAGCCACCUGUACUGGAACAAGAGGUUAUCUGUACAUUUGAAUAAACCUGUAGCUACUGUUAAUAUCCUGUUAGAACAUUUUUUAA